AGGGNCGACGCUGGCGGCGUGCUUGAUACAUGCAAGUCAAGGAGAAUUUUAUUUUCGGAUAAAUAGUAAACUGGCGAACGGGUGAGUAACGCGUAAAUAACUUGCCUCAGAGAUUGGGACAACAUUGGGAAACCAGUGCUAAUACCAAAUAAUGCAGCGGGCCCUUCGGGGUAUUUGUUGUUAAAGUGGGCUUCGGCUCACGCUUUGAGAUAGGUUUGCGUCCGAUUAGUUAGUUGGUAGGGUAAUUGCCUACCAAGGCGAAGAUCGGUAGCUGGUCUGAGAGGAUGAUCAGCCACACUGGAAUUGAGAUACGGUCCAGACUCCUACGGGAGGCAGCAGUAAGGAAUUUUGCACAAUGGGCGAAAGCCUGAUGCAGCAACGCCGCGUGAUUGAUGAAGUUUUUAGGAAUGUAAAAAUCUGUCGUAAGGGAAGAAAUGUUUCAGAUAUUAAUACUAUCUGUUAUUGACGGUACCUUACAAGAAAGCACCGGCUAACUUCGUGCCAGCAGCCGCGGUAAUACGAGGGGUGCUAGCGUUGUCCGGAUUUACUGGGCGUAAAGGGUACGUARGCGUUUUAACAAGUUAUGUGUUAAAUACUUUAGCUUAACUAAAGAACUGCACAUAAAACUGUUAGAAUAGAGUUUGAGAGAGGAACGCAGAAUUCAUGGUGGAGCGGUGACAUGCGUAGAUAUCAUGAGGAAAGUCAAAUGCGAAGGCAGCCUUCUGGCUCAAAACUGACGCUGAGGUACGAAAGCGUGGGGAGCGAACAGGAUUAGAUACCCUGGUAGUCCACGCCGUAAACGAUGAGUACUUGGUGCUGGAAGAUUCGACCCUUUCAGUGCCGUAGCUAACGCGAUAAGUACUCCGCCUGGGGACUACGAUCGCAAGAUUGAAC
RNAcentral lists this ribosomal RNA (894 nucleotides) under uncultured Fidelibacterota bacterium. RNAcentral describes it as "SSU rRNA". It matches the Rfam family "Bacterial small subunit ribosomal RNA", at positions 26 to 899 of the family's 1533-position model. Lineage: Bacteria; Pseudomonadati; Fidelibacterota. The record is from RNAcentral.